UUAAGUUCAGCGGGUAUCCCUACCUGAUCCGAGGUCAACCAGAUGAAGUUCGUGGUUGAGACUGAGGCGGAGAAUCUGAGACGCGUGCUGAAAAGCUCGCUGCGUCCAGAGUUCUCGACACGACUCUGCCAUUAUCUUUCGAAUCCACCGGCAUCGGUGAAGACUCAACAGCAAGCCGGGCUUGAAGGUUGAUAAUGACG
RNAcentral lists this unclassified non-coding RNA (200 nucleotides) under Verrucaria sp. RNAcentral describes it as "partial internal transcribed spacer 2". The record is from RNAcentral. Lineage: Eukaryota; Fungi; Ascomycota; Eurotiomycetes; Verrucariales; Verrucariaceae.